GAGAGAAUAGGUGCAGUACA
RNAcentral lists this non-coding RNA (20 nucleotides) under Rattus norvegicus (Norway rat). Lineage: Eukaryota; Metazoa; Chordata; Mammalia; Rodentia; Muridae. The record is from RNAcentral.